Molecule: non-coding RNA, 92 nt
Organism: Sturnus vulgaris (Common starling)
Lineage: Eukaryota; Metazoa; Chordata; Aves; Passeriformes; Sturnidae
Source: RefSeq, a predicted model, not a curated record
AGAAACACAGGACUGAACUUCUUCUGUGAGUUGAUGGAACCAAUUGAAGGUUGGUUUGGUUAUUGACAGCCUGAGAAACUAAUCGAAGAAAG